RNAcentral lists this transfer RNA (81 nucleotides) under Acidimicrobiia bacterium. RNAcentral's name for it is "tRNA-Tyr". It matches the Rfam family "tRNA". Rfam says of the family: Transfer RNA (tRNA) molecules are approximately 80 nucleotides in length. Their secondary structure includes four short double-helical elements and three loops (D, anti-codon, and T loops). RNAcentral also lists the same sequence under 1 other name. The record is from RNAcentral. Lineage: Bacteria; Bacillati; Actinomycetota; Acidimicrobiia.
GGGUCGGUGUCCGAGAGGCCAAAGGAGGCGGUCUGUAAAACCGCUGCGGAAGCUACGGUGGUUCGAACCCACCCCGGCCCA